This 162-nucleotide ribosomal RNA is filed under the name Meconopsis simplicifolia. RNAcentral describes it as "5.8S ribosomal RNA". The stretch from base 18 to 162 matches the Rfam family "5.8S ribosomal RNA". Rfam says of the family: 5.8S ribosomal RNA (5.8S rRNA) is a component of the large subunit of the eukaryotic ribosome. It is transcribed by RNA polymerase I as part of the 45S precursor that also contains 18S and 28S rRNA. Lineage: Eukaryota; Viridiplantae; Streptophyta; Magnoliopsida; Ranunculales; Papaveraceae. The record is from RNAcentral.
AGAUCCGAUCUUCGAACGACUCUCGGCAACGGAUAUCUCGGCUCUCGCAUCGAUGAAGAACGUAGCGAAAUGCGAUACUUGGUGUGAAUUGCAGAAUCCCGUGAACCAUCGAGUUUUUGAACGCAAGUUGCGCCCCAAGCCUUUGGGCCGAGGGCACGCUUG